This 352-nucleotide unclassified non-coding RNA is filed under the name soil metagenome. RNAcentral describes it as "partial contains 5.8S ribosomal RNA, internal transcribed spacer 2, and large subunit ribosomal RNA". The stretch from base 1 to 122 matches the Rfam family "5.8S ribosomal RNA", at positions 35 to 154 of the family's 154-position model. The record is from RNAcentral.
GAUGAAGAACGCAGCGAAAUGCGAUACGUAAUGUGAAUUGCAGAUCUCUCAGUGAAUCAUCGAAUCUUUGAACGCACAUUGCGCCCGCCAGUAUUCUGGCGGGCAUGCCUGUCCGAGCGUCAUUUCAACCCUCAAGCACUGCUUGGUGUUGGUGGCCUACGGGCGCCCCGUACCGGGUGCGCCUGUAGCCGCCCAAAUACAUUGGCGGACCCGCCGUGGCUCCCUGCGUAGUAGCUUAACCUCGCAUCGGGCCUAGGCGUCGCCCUGCCGUAAAACGAUACUCAGUAACACUGGUUGACCUCGGAUCAGGUAGGAAUACCCGCUGAACUUAAGCAUAUCAAUAAGCGGAGGA